Molecule: ribosomal RNA, 433 nt
Filed under: uncultured bacterium
Lineage: Bacteria
Description: partial 16S ribosomal RNA
Rfam family: Bacterial small subunit ribosomal RNA
Source: RNAcentral
AACGAACGCUGGCGGCAUGCCUAACACAUGCAAGUCGAACGAGACCUUCGGGUCUAGUGGCGCACGGGUGCGUAACGCGUGGGAACCUGCCCUUAGGUUCGGAAUAACUCCCCGAAAGGGGUGCUAAUACCGGAUAAUGUCUUCGGACCAAAGAUUUAUCGCCUUUGGAUGGGCCCGCGUUGGAUUAGCUAGUUGGUAGGGUAAAAGCCUACCAAGGCGACGAUCCAUAGCUGGUCUGAGAGGAUGAUCAGCCACACUGGGACUGAGACACGGCCCAGACUACUACGGGAGGCAGCAGUGGGGAAUAUUGGACAAUGGGCGAAAGACUGAUCAAGCAAUGCCGCGUGAGUGAUGAAGGCCUUAGGGUUGUAAAGCUCUUUUACCCGGGAUGAUAAUGACAGUACCGGGAGAAUAAGCUCCGGCUAACUCCGUG